Molecule: non-coding RNA, 1750 nt
Organism: Peromyscus maniculatus bairdii (prairie deer mouse)
Lineage: Eukaryota; Metazoa; Chordata; Mammalia; Rodentia; Cricetidae
Source: RefSeq, a predicted model, not a curated record
CUUUGAGCUACUGCAGCGAAUUUCAUCUCUGCAUCGGACAAGGAGGCCUGGGCGUGAAAGGAGCUGCUCUCUGUCCACCAGGGGGAGACCGGCCCACGGUAUCCUCCUUAGGUGGGCUGCCAACUCUGUUACAAGGGAAGGUCCAAAGAAUCAAGCAUGAUGCUGCAGCUUACAAAGCUUCAAGGCAGAGUGAAUUUACUUUCUCUCCUUCAGCCUUCUGCCUUCUCCACUUUCUACUCCUCUGGGUAGCUUAUCACCUUGUCUGGAUGACAUAGUCACGCUCCUCUUCCCAAUCCGUUUCCAGAUGAUGGCUUUCUCCUUGGUCUCAGGAAAUGGUGCAACAUUGACUUGAAGUAGCAAACACUCUCAACUCGGAAGUCACGACAUCUAGUUCCUCAUGAGCUUUGAGAAGACAGAAUUGGUUAAGUGUUUAAUUCCUUCUUGUACCUUCCACUUGGGACCUGCUGCUCCCAUCAGGGAGCAUAGUCUUGAUGACUUCCCCAUUUGUCUCUUGUGUUAUUCCCAUGUGAGGAUGCCAUGGGGAAAGCAGGUCAGAGAGGCUGAGGGUGAUUCUCUAAGGCACAGUACACUUGUGUUUUGUGGUCCUGUGAGCUCUACCAUGAGAAAAGGCUGAUUGCUGUUCUCAAACAAUGCCUACAUGACCCUUGCCCUGAUCCUCUAACAGAACUCCUCCUCUCUGAAGUUUCCUCAAUUAAAUGGCCAAGUGAGACCCACUCUCUGCCCUCUGGAACCUGAUAUUAUGCAUCCCCUACUCGUGUCUUUCUGUGGGUUUCAGGAUCCCUCCAUCUGAAUCUAGUGACAGGACUUUAGACAUUUCACACCAGCUUAAUAUCCACACCCUCCUUAUCCCAGGAAACCCUACAAGUCCCUUUGCCCCUGGGAGGAGAAGCUUCAUCUGGACAGCCAUGUAGGCCCUGUCGUUUCCUUGGCGCAUCCAGAGAAGCUCAGACAGCUACAGCUGCCUUUACCAUGCAGAGCUGUAAAUUAAACACCAGUCUCCCUGCAUCCUGGAUCAGCAAACCAAAUUUCAGCGCCGGAUGAAGGGAUGGCGUAGACUCCACCUACUGCCCUGCAGGCUUGCAGGCUGCAGGUGCCCAUGUUUGCUUUAUGGAAGAUCUUCCCUCAGAGGUGGUAAUGUCCCAAUAAACACAAAGUCAGACAGUCACACAGAUGCUCAUGACAGUGUUAAUAUUAUACCACCAGUUGCCAUGCCAGUGAAGAUGGGGAGAUCUCACAAAGUCCCAGACAUAGGUGAGGAGAAACAGACAAUUAGUGCCCGCCACGAGAGGGAGAAUCAGUGCUCUCCAAGAAGAGGCCCCUGAUAGGUCAUCCAAUAUCAGUUGUCAGUGCUAAGCAUGCAUAUAAUAUAGGGAACACUAAAUGAACUCAGUAGUUUGUACAUACACAUGCAAAUAUAUAUACUACAUGGACGCAAAAGCUUGUGUUUGCAUGUGUAUACCAGUAAUAAUUAAAGAAGUCAAUAAUUUGAGAGAGUGAGGGAGAAUCAUGUGAGGAGUUAGAGGGGGCCAAGAGAGGGGUGGAAUGGUGUGUGUAUAUAUAAUAUUAACAUGAAUAUUUGAAAAUAAACAUUGUAGAAAAAAAGUAUAGUUAACAUACCAGAUAUCAGAGUUUAGCAUGGCCAAUGGCAUAUUGGCCAAUUGUUGGACAAAAUCAGGUCACUCAACAUCUAUUUAAAAUUAAAGUAUGGAAUAUCUCAUGUGAUGUGUAA